GAUGAACGCUGGCGGCGUGCCUAAUACAUGCAAGUCGAGCGAACAGACGAGGAGCUUGCUCCUCUGACGUUAGCGGCGGACGGGUGAGUAACACGUGGAUAACCUACCUAUAAGACUGGGAUAACUUCGGGAAACCGGAGCUAAUACCGGAUAAUAUAUUGAACCGCAUGGUUCCAUAGUGAAAGACGGUUUUGCUGUCACUUAUAGAUGGAUCCGCGCCGCAGUAGCUAGUUGGUAAGGUAACGGCUUACCAAGGCAACGAUCCGUAGCCGACCUGAGAGGGUGAUCGGCCACACUGGAACUGAGACACGGUCCAGACUCCUACGGGAGGCAGCAGUAGGGAAUCUUCCGCAAUGGGCGAAAGCCUGACGGAGCAACGCCGCGUGAGUGAUGAAGGUCUUCGGAUCGUAAAGCUCUGUUAUUAGGGAAGAACAAAUGUGUAAGUAACUAUGCACGUCUUGACGGUACCUAAACAGAAAGCCACGGCUAACUACGUG
Molecule: ribosomal RNA, 497 nt
Filed under: uncultured bacterium
Lineage: Bacteria
Description: partial 16S ribosomal RNA
Rfam family: Bacterial small subunit ribosomal RNA
Source: RNAcentral